UUGGAGGGCAGUCUGGUGCAGCAGCGCGGUAAUUCCAGCUCCAUAGCGUAUAUUAAAGUUGUUGCAGUUAAAAAGCUCGUAGUUGAAUUUCGGGAUCAGAGUGUCGGUCGUGCCUCGGUACGCACUGGUAUUAUUGGUUCCUACCUUCUGAAGAACCGCGAUGUCAUUAAUUUGGUGUCGUGGGGAAUCAGGACUGUUACUUUGAAAAAAUUAGAGUGUUUAAAGCAGGCUUACGCUUGAAUACAUUAGCAUGGAAUAAUGAAAUAGGACGUUUGAUUCUAUUUUGUUGGUUUCUAGGAUUGACGUAAUGAUUAAUAGGGAUAGUUGGGGGCAUUAGUAUUCAAUUGUCAGAGGUGAAAUUCUUGGAUUUAUUGAAGACUAACUACUGCGAAAGCAUUUGCCAAGGAUGUUUUCAUUAAUCAAGAACGAAAGUUAGGGGAUCGAAGACGAUCAGAUACCGUCGUAGUCUUAACCAUAAACUAUGCCGACUAGGGAUCGGAUGAUGUUAAUUUUUUAAUGACUCAUUCGGCGCCUUACGGGAAAC
RNAcentral lists this ribosomal RNA (544 nucleotides) under uncultured Glomeromycotina. Its description in RNAcentral is "SSU rRNA". It matches the Rfam family "Eukaryotic small subunit ribosomal RNA", at positions 548 to 1098 of the family's 1831-position model. Lineage: Eukaryota; Fungi; Glomeromycota. The record is from RNAcentral.